AUGUUUUUUAGCAGGUUUGAAGGCUUGGAUACAGGCAGGCUUGGAUACAGGAAGGCUUGGAUACAGGCAGGCUGCAAGGCUUGUGUUGGUUUGCGGGCUGUUGUUAUGCAGGCUUGCUUGUGUUUGAACACAGGUUUAUUGGUUUCUGGUCUUAUGCAGGCAGGCUUGCUGUUAUGCUUGAAAGCUUGUAUUCUCAAGCAGUUUUGCAGGUAA
This is a non-coding RNA of Vicia faba (fava bean), 213 nucleotides long. Lineage: Eukaryota; Viridiplantae; Streptophyta; Magnoliopsida; Fabales; Fabaceae. The record is from the annotation of a GenBank genome assembly.